GACGAACGCUGGCGGCGUGCUUAACACAUGCAAGUCGAACGGAAAGGCCCUGCUUUUGUGGGGUGCUCGAGUGGCGAACGGGUGAGUAACACGUGAGUAACCUGCCCUUGACUUUGGGAUAACUUCAGGAAACUGGGGCUAAUACCGGAUAGGAGCUCCUGCUGCAUGGUGGGGGUUGGAAAGUUUCGGCGGUUGGGGAUGGACUCGCGGCUUAUCAGCUUGUUGGUGGGGUAGUGGCUUACCAAGGCUUUGACGGGUAGCCGGCCUGAGAGGGUGACCGGCCACAUUGGGACUGAGAUACGGCCCAGACUCCUACGGGAGGCAGCAGUGGGGAAUAUUGCACAAUGGGCGGAAGCCUGAUGCAGCAACGCCGCGUGCGGGAUGACGGCCUUCGGGUUGUAAACCGCUUUCGCCUGUGACGAAGCGUGAGUGACGGUAAUGGGUAAAGAAGCACCGGCUAACUACGUGCCAGCAGCCGCGGUGAUACGUAGGGUGCGAGCGUUGUCCGGAUUUAUUGGGCGUAAAGGGCUCGUAGGUGGUUUGAUCGCGUCGGAAGUGUAAUCUUGGGGCUUAACCCUGAGCGUGCUUUCGAUACGGGUUGGCUUGAGGAAGGUAGGGGGAGAAUGGAAUUCCUGGUGGAGCGGUGGAAUGCGCAGAUAUCAGGGAGGAACACCAGUGGCGAAGGCGGUUCUCUGGGCCUUUCCUGACGCUGAGGAGCGAAAGCGUGGGGAGCGAACAGGCUUAGAUACCCUGGUAGUCCACGCUGUAAACGGUGGGUACUAGGUGUGGGGUCCAUUCCACGGGUUCCGUGCCGUAGCUAACGCUUUAAGUACCCCGCCGGGGGAGUACGGCCGCAAGGCUAAAACUCAAAGGAAUUGACGGGGCCCCGCACAAGCGGCGGAGCAUGCGGAUUAAUUCGAUGCAACGCGUAGAACCUUACCUGGGUUUGACAUGGAUCGGGAGUGCUCAGAGAUGGGUGUGCCUCUUUUGGGGUCGGUUCACAGGUGGUGCAUGGCUGUCGUCAGCUCGUGUCGUGAGAUGUUGGGUUAAGUCCCGCAACGAGCGCAACCCUUGUUCACUGUUGCCAGCACGUUAUGGUGGGGACUCAGUGGAGACCGCCGGGGUCAACUCGGAGGAAGGUGGGGAUGACGUCAAGUCAUCAUGCCCCUUAUGUCCAGGGCUUCACGCAUGCUACAAUGGCUGGUACAGAGAGUGGCGAGCCUGUGAGGGUGAGCGAAUCUCGGAAAGCCGGUCUCAGUUCGGAUUGGGGUCUGCAACUCGACCUCAUGAAGUCGGAGUCGCUAGUAAUCGCAGAUCAGCAACGCUGCGGUGAAUACGUUCCCGGGGCUUGUACACACCGCCCGUCAAGUCAUGAAAGUUGGUAACACCCGAAGCCGGUGGCCUAACCGUUGUGGGGGAGCCGUCGAAGGUGGGACUGGUGAUUAGG
This 1447-nucleotide ribosomal RNA is filed under the name uncultured organism. RNAcentral describes it as "16S ribosomal RNA". It matches the Rfam family "Bacterial small subunit ribosomal RNA". The record is from RNAcentral.